UUUAUUUUUGCAGGUACCACAUAUGGAAAUGAAAUCAGACCAACCAAAUCUGAGGAGUUUACUGUUGAAGGUUCAAGUGUUACAUUAUCCUGCAGUUAUUCAUCUGCACAGUCUUUAUUCUGGUACCGUCAGUAUCCCGGAUCAGCUCCUGAAUUCCUUGUAAUCCUCUUUUAUGGUGCAAAAGACGCUAAGAAGUCUGAUGUAGAUCCCAGAUUCACUGCUAAACCCAACAAAGAAAAGCAAAACCAUGUGGAUCUGGAGAUCUCCUCUGCUAAAGUGACAGACUCUGCUUUGUACUACUGUGCCCAGGACGCCAGUGACAGGAAAACACAACAAGAAGACUGUACUGUGACCCUCAGCUGCACAUAUGAUACAAGCAGCAAUUAUGCUUAUUUGUACUGGUAUAGACAGUAUCCUAAUGAAGAGCUUCGCUAUUUGUUAUUCAAGCCUGCACGAUCGGGUAGUGCAAGUGGGAGCCCCGAUGAUCCUCGCUUUCAGUCGACUACAUCACAAACGUCCACUGAACUCACUAUUACUGGUGCAACUCUGUCAGAUUCAGCUCUCUAUUAUUGUGCUCUAAGAGUUGGAGCACAGUGAUACAAAGUUUGUAUGAAGCUGUACAAAAACUCAAAUUCAUUUUCCCCUUUGAUGUCAAGCC
Molecule: non-coding RNA, 658 nt
Organism: Cyprinus carpio (common carp)
Lineage: Eukaryota; Metazoa; Chordata; Actinopteri; Cypriniformes; Cyprinidae
Source: the annotation of a RefSeq genome assembly